GGAUUAGAUACCCUGGUAGUCCACGCCGUAAACGAUGAUAACUAGAUGUUGGGGGAGUUGACCCCCUCAGUAUCGAAGCACACGCGAUAAGUUAUCCGCCUGGGGAGUACGGCCGCAAAGCUAAAACUCAAAGGAAUUGACGGGGGCCCGCACAAGCGGUGGAGUAUGUGGUUUAAUUCGAAGCAACGCGAAGAACCUUACCUGGGCUUGACAUCCUCUGAAUACAGUAGAGAUAUUGUCGGCUCGCAAGAGACAGAGAGACAGGUGCUGCAUGGCUGUCGUCAGCUCGUGCCG
RNAcentral lists this ribosomal RNA (294 nucleotides) under uncultured bacterium. RNAcentral describes it as "partial 16S ribosomal RNA". It matches the Rfam family "Bacterial small subunit ribosomal RNA", at positions 775 to 1067 of the family's 1533-position model. The record is from RNAcentral.